This 63-nucleotide transfer RNA is filed under the name Torleya nepalica. RNAcentral's name for it is "tRNA-Thr". It matches the Rfam family "tRNA". From Rfam's summary of the family: Transfer RNA (tRNA) molecules are approximately 80 nucleotides in length. Their secondary structure includes four short double-helical elements and three loops (D, anti-codon, and T loops). Lineage: Eukaryota; Metazoa; Arthropoda; Insecta; Ephemeroptera; Ephemerellidae. The record is from RNAcentral.
GCUUUAGUAGUUUAAUAAAAACGAUGGUCUUGUAAGCCAUAAUUAGGGAUUCCCUCUAAAACU